RNAcentral lists this ribosomal RNA (482 nucleotides) under uncultured bacterium. Its description in RNAcentral is "partial 16S ribosomal RNA". It matches the Rfam family "Bacterial small subunit ribosomal RNA", at positions 28 to 507 of the family's 1533-position model. The record is from RNAcentral.
GACGAACGCUGGCGGCGUGCUUAACACAUGCAAGUCGAACGCUGAAGCUCAGCUUGCUGGGUGGAUGAGUGGCGAACGGGUGAGUAACACGUGAGUAACCUGCCCUCUUCUUUGGGAUAACGCCCGGAAACGGGUGCUAAUACUGGAUAUUCACUGAUUCUCGCAUGGGGGUUGGUGGAAAUGUUUUUUCUGGUGGGGGAUGUGCUCGCGGCCGAUCAGCUUGUUGGUGGGGUGAUGCCCUACCAAGGCUUUAACGUGUACCAGGCCUGGGAGGGUGACCGGUCAGAUUGGGACUGAUGUACGGAACAGAAUCCUACGGGAGGCAGCAGUGGGGGAUAUUGCACAAUGGGCGAAAGGCUGAUUCGGCGACGACGCGUGAGGGAUUGAGGCCUUCGGGUUGUAAACCUCUUGCGGUCAUGGUCAAGCCGCAGCUUUGGGUUGUGGUGAUGGUAGUGGGUAAAGAAGCGCCGGCUAACUACGUG